RNAcentral lists this transfer RNA (74 nucleotides) under Deltaproteobacteria bacterium. RNAcentral describes it as "tRNA-Arg". It matches the Rfam family "tRNA". From Rfam's summary of the family: Transfer RNA (tRNA) molecules are approximately 80 nucleotides in length. Their secondary structure includes four short double-helical elements and three loops (D, anti-codon, and T loops). RNAcentral also lists the same sequence under 1 other name. Lineage: Bacteria; Pseudomonadati; Myxococcota; Myxococcia. The record is from RNAcentral.
GCGCCCAUAGCUCAGCUGGAUAGAGCGCCGGCCUACGAAGCCGGAAGUCGAAAGUUCGAAUCUUUCUGGGCGCG